RNAcentral lists this ribosomal RNA (465 nucleotides) under uncultured Klebsiella sp. Its description in RNAcentral is "bacterial SSU rRNA". It matches the Rfam family "Bacterial small subunit ribosomal RNA", at positions 338 to 795 of the family's 1533-position model. Lineage: Bacteria; Pseudomonadati; Pseudomonadota; Gammaproteobacteria; Enterobacterales; Enterobacteriaceae. The record is from RNAcentral.
CCUACGGGGGGCUGCAGUGGGGAAUAUUGCACAAUGGGCGCAAGCCUGAUGCAGCCAUGCCGCGUGUGUGAAGAAGGCCUUCGGGUUGUAAAGCACUUUCAGCGGGGAGGAAGGCGUUAAGGUUAAUAACCUUGUCGAUUGACGUUACCCGCAGAAGAAGCACCGGCUAACUCCGUGCCAGCAGCCGCGGUAAUACGGAGGGUGCAAGCGUUAAUCGGAAUUACUGGGCGUAAAGCGCACGCAGGCGGUCUGUCAAGUCGGAUGUGAAAUCCCCGGGCUCAACCUGGGAACUGCAUUCGAAACUGGCAGGCUAGAGUCUUGUAAAGGGGGGUAGAAUUCCAAGUGUAGCGGUGAAAUGCGUAGAGAUCUGGAGGAAUACCGGUGGCGAAGGCAGCCCCCUGGACAAAGACUGACGCUCAGGUGCGAAAGCGUGGGGAGCAAACAGGAUUAGAUACCCCGGUAGUC